RNAcentral lists this ribosomal RNA (1002 nucleotides) under Drosophila guanche. RNAcentral's name for it is "SSU_rRNA_archaea". It matches the Rfam family "Bacterial small subunit ribosomal RNA", at positions 384 to 1533 of the family's 1533-position model. Lineage: Eukaryota; Metazoa; Arthropoda; Insecta; Diptera; Drosophilidae. The record is from RNAcentral.
UUACCGGGCAUAGCCCGGAUAUAAAUAAAUAAUAAAAGGUUAACAAUAAACUUCUAAUUAUGUAUAAUAAUGAUAUAUAUAAGAAAGAGUCCUGACCAAAACGUGUGCCAGCAGCUGCGGUUAGACAUGGUGGGCAAGCAUUAAUCAGAAAGGCUUAAAGAAUCAGUAGUACGGUUAAAAUAUUUUAACUAGAAUAAAUAAAAUAGGUUAUAUGAAAUAAUAUUUAAGGGAUGAAAUACUAUGAAAAUAUUAUAACAGCAAAGAAAUAACUGAAUAUUUAUUGACGUUGUGAGAUGAAGGCUACGUUUGCGACAUGGAUUCGAUACCCAUUUAGUCGUAGCAGUGAACUAUGAAUACUAUAAUAACUUAUUUAUAAGUUAAGAAUAAUUAAAAUGUAAAGUAUUCCGCCUGAAUAGUACGCUCGCAAGGGUGAAAUACAAGACAUUAGACGGUUGUAGUCUUAAGCAGUGGAACAUGUUGUUUAAUUGGAUGAUCCUCCUAAAACCUUACCAUCUCUUGAAUUAUUAACAGGCGUUACAUCGUUGUCGUCAGUUCAUGCCAUGAGGUAUUAUAUUAAGUUAUAUAAUGAACACAAUCCUUAAUAAUAUAUUUAUAUAUUAUAAAGUAUUUUUUACAAAUAAUAGGAAGUCAAGGGCGAAGACUAAUCAUGAUGACCCUAAUGAGAUGGGCUAUAGACGUGUUACGAUGUUAUUGACAAUUAUAUAAAUUUAUAUUUAAAUAUUUAUUAUUAUUAAACAAUAAGAUUAUGAUUUUUAUCUUUCAUGGAUUAUAGUUUGAAAUUCAACUAUAUGAAGGAGGAAUUGCCAGUAAUCGUAAACUAGAGAGUUACGGUGAAAUUUAAUACUACUUCGUACUAACCACUCAUCAACAGCAAGAAAUUUUUACUUUCCUGAAAAGUUUAUUUUUAGGUUCGUUUAUAAGUGACCUGUUGUAAGUUGAAAUACGGUUCGGUUAGGGGAACCUGAUCGGGAUUUAUUACUU